UCGAGGACGGAAAGUUUUUGCAUGCAGCCCUUCUUGCGUGUCCGUCCCUCCCUGGGUCCCUGUCGCGCGCGGUGAGGCACCUCUUCGGGCACCCGGGCGGCUUAGUGGGGAGGAGCCGAGCAGUACGCACCUCGCCACCACCCCAAGCCAGGGAGGGGACUCUGGUGACCUCGCCUCCCAGCCACCACCCCCUUCACCGUUCUCGUUCACGGUGGACCUUGCACCGUGGGGGAGUCGGCGGAUUCCUCUGGUAGCUGAGCCCAAUGGGGAGGUGGAAGUGGUUUUAAAAAGCAGGUGAGUUUGGGGCGAGAGGACGUGCUUUCCCGUGUCAGACUGCGGGGCAUGCAAAGCGCAAAACUCAGGGCCGGGCGCCCCCAGACUCCCUGCACGCUACGCGUCCCCGGCUCUCACCGAACCUUUGCGCAGACUUUGCUCCAGGUUCUAUAUAGCGGCGCUAACCCGCUCUCGGAAGAGGAUGCUAGCAGGCCAAGACCCUCGAGCACUUUCCAGUGGGUGAUGGCAUCGCCUUGCGCUUCCUACCUGGAGAGGAUGGCCCGAAAUAGCGGACAAAACCUAUGGCCGAGAAUCCGAUUCCUAGGAGCAUUCCCUUCAGAUUUAACUGUUCCAGCCAGCUAGAAAGCUUCAGAUUUCCUCUGGAUUUGGGAAGUUCCAUGCUUUGUGAUUUCCUCCGUCUUCUUUGGGAACAAGCCAGCUGCCAUGUUGUAAGCUGCUCUGUGGAGAGGUCCAUGUGGCAAGGUACUGAGGAAGGCGUCUAGCCAAUGGCCAGCAAGGAACUGAAUCCUGCCAACAGCCAAAUGAGUGAGCUUACAAACUUAUACUCCUGCAGUUGGGCCUUGAGAUGAAACCACAGCCCUGGCCCACACCUUGAUUGCAACUUUGUGAGAGAUCUUGAGACAGAGGUACCUAGUUACGCCAUGCCUAGAUUCCUGACCCACAAAAACCGUGAGCUAAUUUGUUUGUUUGUUGUUUUAAGUUGUUAUAUUUUGGGGUUACUUGUUAUGCAGCAAUAUUUAACUAAUACAGAAUGGUCUGGGCGUAUGGUGAUUGAACAAAAGAACUUACUAGAAAAAUAAACUUAACAAAGGUAAAGUUCCCUUGUUCCUCUUUUGAGCCUCCUGUGAAUUGUCUGUCAUCCGUCUCAGAAUUUUUUUUUUUGGCAGCUUCGUGAGGCUACUUUACACGAGUAUUUUCUACCCUGGGUUUCGUAAUUUAUCUUUUGGGUACUCAGGGUUUGUGUGUGUGUGUGUGUGUGUGUGUGUGAUAAACGAUAUAUAACAAAACAUUUGACUUUUUAACCAUACAAUUCAGUGACAUUAAUAAUAUGUGCCAUGUUGUGCAACUGAAACUCAGGUACUCAAGUUUUUGCUUUUUAAACUCCAUCACUACUUUGUAGAAAGGGAGUCUCCAAUCACAAGGUCAUUAUAUAACUGUUGGAAAAAACCUUUACUGAUAACGAUGCCCCCACAGUGGUGGCUGUUACAACUUUGUCUUCCUCCAGGUGUCUAGAGAGUCUAGUGAUGAAGGGACUCUUGCCCAAUUACUAGUGGUCAGUGACUUGAGCUUCUGCAAUUCUACUCCUCUCUUGGGAGCCACUAUAAACCAUUCAAAAAACUUAAAGAUGGCUUAUCAUCCUGAUGGCACAACAGUUAAAUGCUCUUUUCCUAACCCAAAGGUUGGUGGUUCAAACCUACCCAGCAGCUCUACAGGAGAAAGACCUGGCAAUCUGCUUAUGUAAAGAUUACAGUCAAGAAAGCCCUUUGGGGCAGACUCUGUUGCACGGGAUUGCUUUGAGUUGGAUCCAACUCCAUGAUAUCCAACAACAACAACACCAGUUACAGAGAAAUAAGAGCUGCUGCCCCUCCAUCUAUUGCGCGAAGACUUCUGCCUGAAACUUCAUCUGGAAAUGGUCACCAGAGGAGAGCAGACACCCCUCUGUUCAGGGGCGACCCUGUAAGACCUUUUUGUUACGCAAAGUAACUGCAAAACCCAGCCUGGUUGGAGGCAAAGCUGCCUUUGCAUGACAAUGUAAAUAGUUGUCUUAAUAGUAAGCAGAGUAGGGUCUCUGCAAAUUAUUUUCUCCAGGAUGUUUUAUUUCUUUUAUUUUGUAAAAGAAACAAUAUUGAAUUUUAAAAGUCAUGCAUGAACUUGUUCUUGUCAUAAGAUUUUAAAAUGAUAGUGAUAAGGUGGAAAUUUCCUUCGAAUAUCCUCUUCAAACCUGGUCCCCUCCCCUACCCCUAGUUUGGCAGCCAUUUUUUUUGUAUAAUUUUUUAUGAAUUUACCUACCAUAUAUACCUGUCAUUGUAGGUGGGGACAAUACUGCUGUGUCUGUGUGUUUUUGUUUUUUCCUUUGUUUUUAUGUGAGUAGCAUUAUUUUGUAGACAUUUUCUGCAACUUUUUCCAUUCAGCAAUGUGUCUUGAACAAAUAUUACAUAUGUAAAUACUUCAUUAUUUUUAACUGCUGCAUAGUAUUCUAUAAAUGUUACAGAAUCUGUUUACCUAUUGCUGUUGUUGUGUGCUGUUGAGUCAAUUCCAACUCAGUGAUCCAGGGUGACAGAAUAGAACCUCCCCAUAGGGCUUUCUAGGCUGUAAUCUUUAUGGGGAGGAGCCCUGAUGGUGCAGUAGUUUAAGCGAUUGGCUGCUUACUGAAAGGUCAGCGGUUUUGAACCCACCAGCAGCUCUUUGAGAGAAAAAUGUAGCAGUCUGCUUCCGUAAAAGUUUAUAGUCUUGGAAACCCUAUGGAGCAGUUCUUCUCUAUCCUGUAGGGUCAUUAUGAGUUGGAAUUGACUCAACAGCAAUGGAUUUUUUUUUUUUUUAAAUAAUCAUUAUGGGAGCAGAUCACCAGGUUUUUUCUCUCAUAGUACUGCUGGUAGAUUCGAACCCCCGACCUUUCAAUUAGCAGCUGGAGUGCCUAACUACCAUGCCACCAGGGUUCCUUAUUCUCUUACUGAUGGGUAUUUAAGUUUCCGUUUUUUUACAAAUGAUAGGGUAGUCAACAUCUUUAUUCUUAUACAUGCCUCCUUGGGCAUAUGAGGAGGGUAUUUCUACCCAGAAGUAGAAUUACUAAAGAGUCUACCAAAUUGUCUUCUGAAGUGCUGACUAAUUUAUACUCCCACUAGCAGUAUAGUAACGUGCCAAUUUCCUCAUGCCGAAAUUAAUGCUGGACCUUCCAGACAUUUUAAUUUUUGCCGAUGUCAUGAUUAAAAACAAAAAACAUUUCAUUUAUUUAAUUUGUACUUCUCUCAUUUCUACUGUAUU
This is a long non-coding RNA of Loxodonta africana (African savanna elephant), 3276 nucleotides long. RefSeq lists it as uncharacterized. Lineage: Eukaryota; Metazoa; Chordata; Mammalia; Proboscidea; Elephantidae. The transcript has 3 exons. The record is from RefSeq and is a predicted model, not a curated record.